This 86-nucleotide transfer RNA is filed under the name Burkholderiales bacterium. RNAcentral describes it as "tRNA-Ser". It matches the Rfam family "tRNA". Rfam says of the family: Transfer RNA (tRNA) molecules are approximately 80 nucleotides in length. Their secondary structure includes four short double-helical elements and three loops (D, anti-codon, and T loops). Further hydrogen bonds mediate the characteristic L-shaped molecular structure. tRNAs have two regions of fundamental functional importance: the anti-codon, which is responsible for specific mRNA codon recognition, and the 3' end, to which the tRNAs corresponding amino acid is attached (by aminoacyl-tRNA synthetases). tRNAs cope with the degeneracy of the genetic code in two manners: having more than one tRNA (with a specific anti-codon) for a particular amino acid; and 'wobble' base-pairing, i.e. permitting non-standard base-pairing at the 3rd anti-codon position. The record is from RNAcentral. Lineage: Bacteria; Pseudomonadati; Pseudomonadota; Betaproteobacteria; Burkholderiales.
GGAAGCGUGGCAGAGUGGUCGAUUGCACCGGUCUUGAAAACCGGCGGCCCGCAAGGGCCCGUGAGUUCUUAUCUAAACCGCGUUUG